RNAcentral lists this ribosomal RNA (450 nucleotides) under uncultured bacterium. Its description in RNAcentral is "bacterial SSU rRNA". It matches the Rfam family "Bacterial small subunit ribosomal RNA", at positions 50 to 518 of the family's 1533-position model. The record is from RNAcentral.
AACACAUGCAAGUCGAACGGGAGGUAUGAAGAAGCUUGCUUUAGAGAUACUUUAGUGGCGGACGGGUGAGUAACGCGUGAGGAGCUGUCCUAUGCAGGGGGACGAACAGCUGGAAACGGCUGCUAAUACCCCAUAAGCCGAGAGGUAAAAGGAUCAAUCCGGCAGAGGAGGUACUCGCGUCCUAUCAGCUAGUAGGUGAGGUAACGGCUCACCUAGGCGAAGACGGGUAGCCGGCCUGAGAGGGCGAACGGCCACACUGGAACUGAGAUACGGUCCAGACUCCUACGGGAGGCAGCAGUGGGGAAUAUUGGGCAAUGGGGGGAAAAACCCCUGACCCAGCGACGCCGCGUGGGUGAAGAAAUCCUUCGGGAUGUAAAGCCCUGUUGUAUGGGAAGAGCGGAAGACGGUACCAUACGAGGAAGCCCCGGCAAACUACGUGCCAGCAGCCGC